This 251-nucleotide ribosomal RNA is filed under the name uncultured bacterium. RNAcentral's name for it is "partial 16S ribosomal RNA". It matches the Rfam family "Bacterial small subunit ribosomal RNA", at positions 81 to 334 of the family's 1533-position model. The record is from RNAcentral.
UAAGUGAUGGCGACCGGCGCACGGGUGCGUAACACGUAUCCAACCUGCCGAUAACUCGGGGAUAGCCUUUCGAAAGAAAGAUUAAUACCCGAUGGUAUAAUAAAGCCGCAUGGUUUAAUUAUUAAAGAAUUUCGGUUAUCGAUGGGGAUGCGUUCCAUUAGGCAGUUGGUGAGGUAACGGCUCACCAAACCUUCGAUGGAUAGGGGUUCUGAGAGGAAGGUCCCCCACAUUGGAACUGAGACACGGUCCAA